GGAUUGCCUUAGUAACGGCGAGUGAAGCGGCAACAGCUCAAAUUUGAAAUCUGGCUUCCGCCCGAGUUGUAAUUUGCAGAGGUGGCCUCGGAGCAGCACCGGCCCAAGUUCCUUGGAACAGGACGUCGCAGAGGGUGAGAAUCCCGUACGCGGCCAGGUGCCCACCCGUGUGUGGCCCCUUCGACGAGUCGAGUUGUUUGGGAAUGCAGCUCUAAAUUGGAGGUAAAUUUCUUCUAAAGCUAAAUACUGGCCAGAGACCGAUAGCGCACAAGUAGAGUGAUCGAAAGAUGAAAAGCACUUUGAAAAGAGAGUUAAAAAGUACGUGAAAUUGUUGAAAGGGAAGCGUUUGUAGCCAGACCUGGCUGCGGUUGCUCAGCCGGUCUCUGCCCGGUGCACUCUUCCGCCGCCAGGCCAGCAUCGGUUCGGGCAGCCGGACAAAGGCGUGGGGAAUGUGGCUCCUCGGAGUGUUAUAGCCCCUCGCACAAUGCGGCUCGCCCGGACCGAGGAUAGCGUUCCACGGAUGCUGGCUUAAUGGCCGCCAACGGCCCGUCUUGAAACACGGACCAAGGAGUCUAACAUCUAUGCGAGUGUUUGGGUGUCGAACCCGUACGCGUAAUGAAAGUGAACGGAGGUGGGAGCUCUUUUGCGCACCAUCGACCGAUCCUGAUGUCUUCGGAAGGAUUUGAGUAUGAGCAUGGCUGUUGGGACCCGAAAGAUGGUGAACUAUGCCUGAAUAGGGUGAAGCCAGAGGAAACUCUGGUGGAGGCUCGCAGCGGUUCUGACGUGCAAAUCGAUCGUCGAAUUUGGGCAUAGGGGCGAAAGACUAAUCGAACCAUGAACCUGCUAGGUGGUUGAGACACAAACGUAGUCCCCUUAUAGGGGCAACACUAUCAAAUUGCGGGGACUUUCGACAAUCCGUAGCUACCUAAGCCCCUCCGCAAAGUAGGUGCUGCUAAGGUUAAAAUGCCACGGAUCGAGUGAUCCGCAGCUGAUUCCGGGCUCUAGAGCGCCCGGAUGCAGUUUACAGACUAAAUGCUGGUGGGUGCCUCGGGCACUUAAGAUAUAGUCGAAGCACCCGCAGCCGGGUGGACUUGGAAAAGCUAGUAGCUGGUUCCUGCCGAAGUUUCCCUCAGGAUAGCAGCAACGAUUUCAGUUUUAUGAGGUAAAGCGAAUGAUUAGAGGCCUUGGGGUUGAAACAACCUUAACCUAUUCUCAAACUUUAAAUAUGUAAGAAGGGCUUGUUACUUUGUUGAACGUGCCCAUUCGAAUGUACCGUUGCUAGUGGGCCAUUUUUGGUAAGCAGAACUGGCGAUGCGGGAUGAACCGAACGCGGAGUUAAGGUGCCAGAGUACACGCUCAUCAGACACCACAAAAGGUGUUAGCACAUCUUGACAGCAGGACGGUGGCCAUGGAAGUCGGAAUCCGCUAAGGAGUGUGUAACAACUCACCUGCCGAAUGUGCUAGCCCUGAAAAUGGAUGGCGCUCAAGCGUGUCACCCAUACUCCGCCGUCCGGGCAAAAACGACGCCCGGACGAGUAGGC
RNAcentral lists this ribosomal RNA (1541 nucleotides) under Asterinales sp. 'Taeniolella cf. punctata Diederich 17044'. RNAcentral's name for it is "eukaryotic LSU rRNA". It matches the Rfam family "Eukaryotic large subunit ribosomal RNA", at positions 72 to 1386 of the family's 3401-position model. Lineage: Eukaryota; Fungi; Ascomycota; Dothideomycetes; Asterinales. The record is from RNAcentral.